RNAcentral lists this ribosomal RNA (351 nucleotides) under uncultured bacterium. RNAcentral's name for it is "bacterial SSU rRNA". It matches the Rfam family "Bacterial small subunit ribosomal RNA", at positions 917 to 1269 of the family's 1533-position model. The record is from RNAcentral.
GGGCCCGCACAAGCGGUGGAGUAUGUGGUUUAAUUCGAUGCAACGCGAAGAACCUUACCAGGGUUUGACAUCCUGCGAACCUCUUGGAAACGAGAGGGUGCCUUCGGGAACGCAGUGACAGGUGGUGCAUGGCUGUCGUCAGCUCGUGUCGUGAGAUGUUGGGUUAAGUCCCGCAACGAGCGCAACCCACGUCUUUAGUUGCCAGCAUUUAGUUGGGCACUCUAGAGAGACCGCCGGUGAUAAACCGGAGGAAGGUGUGGAUGACGUCAAGUCAUCAUGCCCCUUACAUCCUGGGCUACACACGUACUACAAUGCUACGGACAAAGGGCAGCAAGUUCGCGAGGACAAGCA